UUGUUUGCAACUCAAGUGUAACAAUCCAAAAAUAAUAAUCAAAGAAGAGACAAUAGCAUCAUCUAAAAAGAACAAAAUAAGAAUUGAAGGAUAAAAUAUAUGAUUCACAUUCAGCAAACAAUAACAAGAAUAAGAACUAACCCCAGGGACGAAAGGUGAAGAGGGAGGCGGUGUAUCGAAGGAGCGAUGCGAGAUAUUUGAUUUGCUUUAGCAGAAAAGUGAAAUCCUAGAUUUUCUAUUCCCAACUCACCAAGAACCCAAAAUUCAAACAAUUCCCCCUCUCCCCUCUCCCCACUCCCUCCCUGUUCUAAGCCUAGUUCUUCGACAAAAAACAUACACAAUGAGAAGGCCACUCAUCUGCAUGCACUGGCCGAUGUCUUCCUCGUCGCCAACAUUGUUAUGGACUUCGGAGAAGACCUGAGAGUACAACGGCCGUCGGGAAAGGCGGCUCGAUAUCGGAGAUGACGGCGAGGCACUGGGACACCGAUGGUCGACGGACAGCGGGAGACUGUGGCUUUGGAACCCGCAGAUCUGGAGCCUUGGGGAACAGGGAGCACUGCGGCACUGGCUUUGAGGUUUGUGCGAGACUCUUUGGCAUGGAUAUGAUUUUUUUUUUCAGGUGCGUGACAAGGGUGAUGUAAGAAAGACAUAGA
RNAcentral lists this long non-coding RNA (653 nucleotides) under Arachis ipaensis. RNAcentral describes it as "long non-coding RNA (AIPA_LNC001451)". The record is from RNAcentral. Lineage: Eukaryota; Viridiplantae; Streptophyta; Magnoliopsida; Fabales; Fabaceae.